ACAAAGAAGGGUGAGACAUCUUCACAGAAUAGCUUAUCCCUUCUUAAGACCAGUUAUGAAGACUACUAGGAAGAAUUACCCACUCGAGUGGAACAGCAAGAUGGGAGAAACCAAACAAGUAGAUUGAUUAUGAUUAUGAUUAUGAUUAUGAUUAACUGAGCUCUAAAAUAUUUGAGUGAAGAAGUAAGAGGUAGAAAUGCUACAAGGAGUACAUUUUUCAGAACAUUCUAUGGCUGGACUGUCUUUUGAAAACCCUCACUGAAGUCAAUAGGAACUGAACGCACAUAUCAGAAGUCAAACUUCGUGUCUUUAUGAUUUUUAGAGCAUUUAAAAAAGCCUCUGGAGGAACACUCUUAUGAAAUAAAUUCUGAGGAUGCAAUUCUAAUCUUUCUGGAUUUGGAGACUGAUGCUGAAGAACUAAUAAUUACAAUUGGUGAAGGAAAAGCUCAUUUUCUCUGCAAGAGACCACAGGAAACUUUAGACACUACCAGAUAGUGCGAAGUGCAAACUUACUACACAGAAUAAGACUUGAACAUUUCUUAAAACACAUUGAUGAAAAGUCUAAAUUUACUAUGCCCCAAUAUUGGCAUAGGUCUCCCUUCCCAUGAGAGGAAACUCUAAAAUCUUAAGUGUGUUGCUAUUCAUCUAUUUACCUUACAGCAAAA
Gallus gallus (chicken) is the source of this 665-nucleotide long non-coding RNA. Lineage: Eukaryota; Metazoa; Chordata; Aves; Galliformes; Phasianidae. The record is from Ensembl.